UACAGAGGGUGCGGGCGUUAAUCGGAAUUACUGGGCGUAAAGCGCUCGUAGUCGGCUUUGCAAGUCGGUUGUGAAAUCCCCGGGCUCAACCUGGGAACUGCAUCCGAGACCGCAUUGCUAGAGUAUGGGAGAGGGAAGCGGAAUUUCUGGUGUAGCAGUGAAAUGCGUAGAUAUCGGAAGGAACAUCAGUGGCGAAAGCGACUGCCUGGCCCAAUACUGACACUCAAGUGCGAAAGCGUGGGGAGCAAACAGG
RNAcentral lists this ribosomal RNA (253 nucleotides) under uncultured bacterium. Its description in RNAcentral is "partial 16S ribosomal RNA". It matches the Rfam family "Bacterial small subunit ribosomal RNA", at positions 524 to 776 of the family's 1533-position model. The record is from RNAcentral.